Molecule: ribosomal RNA, 443 nt
Filed under: uncultured bacterium
Lineage: Bacteria
Description: partial 16S ribosomal RNA
Rfam family: Bacterial small subunit ribosomal RNA
Source: RNAcentral
CCUACGGGUGGUAGCAGUGGGGAAUAUUGCGCAAUGGGGGAAACCCUGACGCAGCAACGCCGCGUGCAGGAAGAAGGUCUUCGGAUUGUAAACUGUUGUCGCAGGGGAAGAAGACCGUGACGGUACCCUGGGAGAAAGUCACGGCUAACUACGUGCCAGCAGCCGCGGGAGUACGUAGGGGACAAGCGUGGUCCGGAUUUACUGGGUGUAAAGGGGGCGGAGGGGGGAUAGCAAGUCAGUCGUGAAAGGCCGAGGCUUACCCUCGGAGCUGCGAUUGAAACUGUUAUUCUUGAGUAUCGGAGAGGAAAGCGGAAUUCCUAGGGUAGCGGUGAAAUGCGUAGAUAUUAGGAGGAACACCAGUGGCGAAGGCGGCUUUCUGGACGACAACUGACGCUGCGGCGCGAAAGUGUGGGGAGCAAACAGGAUUAGAUACCCUAGUAGUC